AGGGCACCACCAGGAGUGGAGCCUGCGGCUUAAUUUGACUCAACACGGGAAAACUCACCCGGCCCGGACACUGGAAGGAUCGACAGAUUGAGAGCUCUUUCUUGAUUCAGUGGGUGGUGGUGCAUGGCCGUUCUUAGUUGGUGGAGUGAUUUGUCUGGUUAAUUCCGAUAACGAACGAGACUCUAGCCUACUAAAUAGAUCGUCGGCUUACAAACGCCGGCGAGACUUCUUAGAGGGACAGGCGGUGAUUCAACCGCACGAAACAGAGCAAUAACAGGUCUGUGAUGCCCUUAGAUGUCCGGGGCCGCACGCGCGCUACACUGAAGUGAUCAGCGUGCUUUUUCAACCUACUCUGUCAAGAGUGGGGAACCCAAUGAACCUUCUUCGUGAUUGGGAUAGGGGAUUGUAAUUGUUCCCCUUGAACGAGGAAUUCCCAGUAAGCGCGAGUCAUAAGCUCGCGUUGAUUACGUCCCUGCCCUUUGUACACACCGCCCGUCGCUACUACCGAUUGAAUGUUUU
RNAcentral lists this ribosomal RNA (519 nucleotides) under uncultured eukaryote. RNAcentral's name for it is "SSU rRNA". It matches the Rfam family "Eukaryotic small subunit ribosomal RNA", at positions 1161 to 1699 of the family's 1831-position model. The record is from RNAcentral.